This 254-nucleotide ribosomal RNA is filed under the name uncultured bacterium. RNAcentral describes it as "partial 16S ribosomal RNA". It matches the Rfam family "Bacterial small subunit ribosomal RNA", at positions 524 to 776 of the family's 1533-position model. The record is from RNAcentral.
UACGGGGGGAGCAAGCGUUGUUCGGAUUUACUGGGCGUAAGGGGCGCGUAGGCGGUCAGCACAAGUCAGUUGUGAAAUCUCCGGGCUUAACUCGGAAAGGUCAACUGAUACUGUGCGACUAGAGUGCAGAAGGGGCAACUGGAAUUCUCGGUGUAGCGGUGAAAUGCGUUGAUAUCAGAAGGAACGCCGGUGGCGAAAGCGGCGUGCUGGACCUCUUCUGACGCUGAGGCGCGAAAGCUAGGGGAGCAAACAGG